CGACCGCUAUUGGAGUUCGAUUAAGCCAUGCGAGUCGAGAGUCUUAGGGACUCGGCAUACUGCUCAGUAACACGUGGAUAACCUGCCCUGUACUGGAGAAUAACCUCGGGAAACUGAGAAUAAUACUCCAUAGACCACAAUGCCUGGAACGGUUUGUGGUUCAAAGCUCCGGCGGUACAGGAUGGGUCUGCGGCGUAUCAGGUUGUAGGGGGUGUAAAGGACCUCCUAGCCAUUGACGCGUACGGGUUGUGGGAGCAAUAGCCCGGAGAUGGAUUCUGAGACACGAAUCCAGACCCUACGGGGUGCAGCAGGCGCGAAAACUUCACACUGCGGGAAACCGUGAUGAGGGAACUCCAAGUAUUAGCACAAUGUGCUAUCUUUUCUUGACUUUUAAUAGGUCUUGGAAUAAGGGGCGGGAAAGACCGGUGCCAGCCGCCGCGGUAAUACCGGCGCCUCAAGUGGUCGUCGCUUUUAUUGGGCCUAAAACGUCCGUAGCCUGUUUGGUAAACCCGUGGGUAAAUCAACGAGCUUAACUCAUUGACUUCUGCGGAGACUGCCAGACUAGGGACCGGGAGAGGUGUAGGGUACUCAUGGGGUAGGGGUAAAAUCCUGUCAUCCCAUGAGGACCACCUGUUGCGAAGGCGCUACACUGGAACGGAUCCGACGGUCAGGGACGAAGCCUAGGGGCACGAACCGGAUUAGAUACCCGGGUAGUCCUAGGUGUAAACGCUGUGGACUUGGUGUUGGGGAUCCGACAGGGGUUCCCAGUGCCGGAGCGAAGGUGUUAAGUCCACUGCCUGGGGAGUACGGUCGCAAGGCUGAAACUUAAAGGAAUUGGCGGGGGAGCACUGCAACGGGAGGAGCGUGCGGUUUAAUUGGAUUCAACGCCGGA
RNAcentral lists this ribosomal RNA (892 nucleotides) under uncultured archaeon. Its description in RNAcentral is "bacterial SSU rRNA". It matches the Rfam family "Archaeal small subunit ribosomal RNA", at positions 24 to 922 of the family's 1478-position model. The record is from RNAcentral.